UUUUGAGAAGCUAUUUUCUGUUUUCUUCUAUCUCUUGUAUUUACUUGAUUCAAUCGGGGGAUUGAAUCAAGGGGUUUAAGGUUGGUUGGUGAGCCAAGUUAAAACCAACGUGUGUAAGGGUUUGAUUGUGAGCCCGGAAAAACAAUCGGGGUUUGGUUCUAGUCGGUGAGCCUGGAAAAACCGACCGAGUUCGUUGUGAGCUUGUAAAACAACAAGUUUGGUUGUGAGCUUGCAAAACAACCGGCUGUAAUCCAAGGGGGUUAUAGUGAAAUUCCCAAGUGAGACUUGGGGAGUGGACGUAGGAGCAAGGGUUAGCUCCGAACCACUAUAAAACUUUGUGUUUGUAGUGCAUUGUCUCUCAUCUUCU
RNAcentral lists this long non-coding RNA (367 nucleotides) under Phoenix dactylifera (date palm). RNAcentral describes it as "long non-coding RNA (PDAC_LNC005293)". The record is from RNAcentral. Lineage: Eukaryota; Viridiplantae; Streptophyta; Magnoliopsida; Arecales; Arecaceae.